RNAcentral lists this small RNA (2771 nucleotides) under Bos taurus (domestic cattle). Its description in RNAcentral is "sno-lncRNA1 transcript variant 1". The stretch from base 2694 to 2771 matches the Rfam family "Small nucleolar RNA SNORD116", at positions 1 to 78 of the family's 92-position model. The record is from RNAcentral. Lineage: Eukaryota; Metazoa; Chordata; Mammalia; Artiodactyla; Bovidae.
AAAAUCUGAACAAAAUGAGUGAGAACUCACUACCGUCUCCUCAUCGAAACUGAGGUCCAGCACGUUGCCUCCCUUGGGGUUAAGGGUGGGACUGGUUAGCAGUGAGGGCGUCUCCGACUGUGUCACACACACGCAUGGAGGAGCCAGGUCACCACCAUUUGCGAGGCUCCCGUGUGAGGGUGGGCCAUGUACAGAUAUUCUAGCGGCCCUCUUGGAAUACAAGGUCCAUGUAAAGGCACUGAGGAGCAUAGAGCCAUCUGGCUUGUCCAGUGGUGGUAGGUGUCGCAGUAGACCCUAGCCUCAGACAGUUGACGUCUUAGCUUGGAAAGGUGCAUUUUGUCCUGAUUCCUGCUGCAGAUGCACUAAUUGGGGCUCUGGUGAUGUCGAUUCUAAAGCAAUGAAGCUUCUGUGGUUUGUGAUUGGAGCCCCAGGUCAGGUCUGAGGCCCUCGCCGUUGCAUCCCUUUGGGUUGCUGAGAUUCCUGAGUGCCAUGUGGGCUGCAGUGGCUGCAGAGACCUGGGGGAAUGGUGGCAGUUGUGAAAGUUAAUAGGCCCAUUUCUGCCCUUGGCAGUGGCUGAAUUGCAACUCCUGUCACGUGCUUGAGUCUUGGAGGUCGCCAUGGACUAUGCUGUGGUCCUAGGCCUGCAUUCCUCCUGCAGGUUGGCCAGAGGCCCAGAGAAGAAUGUUUGUGCAGGUGAGGAAAAGUGCAGUGUGAUUUACUGGGACAAUAUGUCCGCUAGGCUUGCAGGCACUGUUGUUCUGUUUUCAGUAAUACAGUGGGGUCCUUUUGGAGCUGCCAUCAGCUGGGUACAGAGGACAGGGCAUUGCUUGUCCUUAGGAGGCUCGGUGAAAGGUGACCUUUGUGGCCUUGUUGUCCCACUGCCAAUAGAAGGACUCUCAAAGGGCAUCUUUGGUGCCUUGAAGAGUUGCAAUAAAGAGGCCAAGGAACCAGCCCAGUGGGUAGUUACGUGGUGUACGCACAUGCCCCUUGGCCGCCAUUUGUCUCUUCGGCCUGGAAUUAUCAAGAUUCCCUAAGGUUGGGGCCAGCCGGCCAGCCCUGAUAGCACCCAUGUGUUUGCCCCCCUGGCAGUGAAGCAUCAACCUUUGAGGACCACCACGGUUGUGAUAGACAUUGCUCAUUGGUUGGCAUACCAAGGCUGCCUCAGUGUAGGAGACAACAGCUCCCAUGGCACUAUGGCAGAGACCUGGCACAUCCACGGUCUUCCCUGGCAGGUCUUCUGAAGUCUUCCUGAAAGCAUCCCUGGUGAUCUGUGAGCCCUUGGUCGUGUUGCCCGCCUUCUUCCUGUGGGUCUUGCUGGAUGCUCAUUGUCCCUGUGAGCCGAGGCCCUGGAGGCUUCAGAUUUAGGUGAGUCGCCCUUUGUUGCAUAAUGAAUUCAAUUUGGACCAAGCCCUGCAUUAUGAGAGCUUUCUCUAGGGUGUGGUCAGUACCCAGGGCCCUGCAGGCUGUAGAUUGGAGGAUAAUCUGGCCAGGAAAGGAAUCCCGUUUCUGUGGGAGUGACCCCUGGUUCCUGGUACCUGAGGAUGACCAGGUUCCAUCUUGCAGUUUCCAGGGGAGGCUGGACUUUGAUUGGGGCUGACUGGCAGGAAGAUACGCAUGCCCUGAAUUCUUUUCCUAUUGGAGGGUGCAGUGGGCCAUAUCUGCCCUAGUGCCAAGUUCACCUUACUGUGCAGUUGUCUGGGAAAAUUUUCUUGUUAGGUAGGAGGUAGGACUUGUGACAAGGACCCCUGAGCUAUAGUAGUAGCUCACGUAGUCUCAGGGUAUGUGGCAUUCACACAGAUUCUCCGCAAGGUGACCCUGGGCAGUCAGGUCUCUGCGUUGGUCAGAGAUCAUGGUUCAUGGAGAUUGGGAGCCUAGAGCCUAUGUCAACAGCCCCUCAGUGAAAUUUUGCAUGGAUCUUGUGGAAGAUGCCAAGUGUCAUCCCAUUUCGUGGGAUGGUGGGAGGUCAGGACUCCAUGGAGGUGGCACGCAUGUUCAUACUGCAGGGCCUUUGCAUGUGGUCUCUGAGACUUGGAUACCCAGACAGAUUUCCAGACACACACCCAAAAUGCUGAGAAUGCAUUUUUAUUGGUACACCAGAAUGCAGGCACUCAAACUCACAUCGAAUCCCCUGCUACCCUUGCACGCUUGGUCAGAAAGACACCCACAUGCACUUGAGCCUAAUUUGCCGCACUCUUUUGAAAGAUAGGUAACCAGUCGUCUGUAAAGGAUCAAUAUAGUUGGGGUGCAGAUACAGGCCUUCCCCUAGGGAAACACUUGCAUCAGUAUUAGUGAGAGACCAAGUACACAUCUGAAGCAUUCCUGUGCUUUCUGUCCACUUGUCAGGUGAAGUUGCCACGUAUGACUGUCCAUCAGCCAGGAGAUGAACCCCCACCCGUGAGGCAGUGACUCAAGGUGCAAGGGAGUCCGGCAAGAAGUGUGGCGCACCCGAGUUGCUGCCACUGCUUUUUGGAUCACCCAGCACGGUACGGCUUCUCCUGCCCCAAGACGUGUUGUGAAUUUCAGGUUUCCUGGGACUGCCUGAGUGGUUGUACGUAUACAGGGACCGUUCCUCUUGCUGAGAAGCCUGAUGGCUCUGAGUUCCCCUGGCUGCUGGAGGACUCCCGGGUCACUGGCUCCUCCUGGGAGCAGCCCUUCCUGCCGUGAGGAGGUGGGCAGCAAGCCAGCACGUGCUCGGAUCGAUGAUGACACCCUCACAUGCAUUCCUUGGAAAAUCUGAACAAAAUGAGUGAGAACUCACUACCGUCUCCUCA